RNAcentral lists this ribosomal RNA (264 nucleotides) under uncultured bacterium. Its description in RNAcentral is "partial 16S ribosomal RNA". It matches the Rfam family "Bacterial small subunit ribosomal RNA", at positions 92 to 354 of the family's 1533-position model. The record is from RNAcentral.
CGACCGGCGCACGGGUGAGUAACGCGUAUCCAACCUGCCCUUUACUAUGGGACAGCCCGUCGAAAGGCGGAUUAAUACCGUAUGUUGUCAUGUUGAUGCAUAUUUUCAUGACCAAAGGCUUCGGCCGGUAAAGGAUGGGGAUGCGUCUGAUUAGCUUGCCGGCGGGGUAACGGCCCACCGGGGCGACGAUCAGUAGGGGUUCUGAGAGGAAGGUCCCCCACAUUGGAACUGAGACACGGUCCAAUCUCCUACGGAAGGCAGCAG